Molecule: ribosomal RNA, 253 nt
Filed under: uncultured bacterium
Lineage: Bacteria
Description: partial 16S ribosomal RNA
Rfam family: Bacterial small subunit ribosomal RNA
Source: RNAcentral
UACGUAUGUUGCAAGCGUUACUCGGAAUCACUGGGCGUAAAGCGUACGAAGGCGGACUAAUAAGUCAGAAGUGAAAUUUCAGAGCUCAACUCUGAACCUGCUUUUGAAACUGUUAGUCUUGAAUAUUAGAGGGGAUGAUGGAAUUCCUGGUGUAGCGGUGGAAUGCGUAGAUAUCAGGAAGAACACCGGUGGCGAAGGCGGUCAUCUGGCUAAAUAUUGACGCUGAUGUACGAAAGCGUGGGGAGCGAACAGG